Molecule: long non-coding RNA, 1665 nt
Filed under: Calidris pugnax (ruff)
Lineage: Eukaryota; Metazoa; Chordata; Aves; Charadriiformes; Scolopacidae
Description: lncRNA (ENSCPUG00000013286.1)
Source: RNAcentral
GCGGGUACUGGGCUCUCACUGGGACUUUGCUGGGAGCUCUGGAGCUGGUUGCUUUGUUUCUCUGUCCCUUGUUCUCUGAGCUCCCAAGACCUGAGCGAGGGGAGGAGAAUGUUGUAUACUUGGGAUCAAACAUGGGUCCUUGCUGUGCACGGGGAGCCUGGCUCAGGCUCUGCUGCCUCCCACGUCCCAAGGAGUUGUCCCUUCCUGGGGUCCCCUUGAAGACCCCGAUGCUGCCGGGCAGGGACAGGCAGGAGGCUGCUGGGGACUCGCUGGCUGUCCUGCUCCUGACCCGUGGUGGUCAUCCCCUUUCCUAGGAAAAGGGAGCAUCCAGGAAGGAUUCUUAAAUCACAGCAAAACCAUAGCCCUGCCCAGAGCCUCGGGAAGGGCUUGGGGCUGGUGGGAUCAGCAAAGGGCUGGGACAAGGCAGCUCUUGGUGGCCGUGGUUGGGAAGGCGGUGUUGCUCCACCUGGGCAGGACCAGCAGAGCUGGGAUCCAUCACCAGCACCUUCUCCGGCGCUUUGCCGUGGGGGUGUGGACCCGUGUUAUGAUAACCAAAGGCAGGGGUUGGCAGGUUUUCUUUGCCCUCCCUCCACUUGGCAUGGUAAUUAACGCGAGGUACUGGUGUCAACUGGAGGUAAAGCUUUGAUGUGUCUAUGGAAAACCUGGUAACCUCUUCCUCCGUGCUCUGCUUUGCAAAUUUAUUUGAGUGAUCAGUAUCUUCCCCACUUCCUUUGGCAUUUUCCUCCUCCCUGCAGCCGCCGGGACCCCGAGGGAAGGAGCGGUGCCCGGCACCUUUCCCGUGCUCGUAGGAGGGGAGGGAGCCGUGGUUUGGAGCUGGCUGCCCGUGUGCCGCGGGCUCCUCUCGAUGCCUGGUGCCUCCAGCUAAAUUGCAUUUAAAGAAGAUGCUGUGGGCAGAGAGCAUCCUGCCCGCGGGGAGCUCCUGCUUUAGGAAGCUUCAUCCCAGCGCCAGCUGCACCAUGGGGCACCUCCGUGCCAUCACCACGUCCCCAGUGGUGGCCUCGUCGUGCCAGGACAGACUGGUGGCCAUGGGCUCACCUGAAAUGGGUGCAGGAAUGGGGGCAUGGAGGGUGGCUUGCGAGAGCCUGGGGGGUGGCAGGCACUUAGAGGCUGUUGGUGUUUGGGGAGGGUUUUCCAGGCUUGGAAGUGGGAAUGAUGACGUGUCCUUCCUCUCCGCAGGUCCCCGUGUCCGUGGCCAUGAUGUCCCCGCAGAUGAUCACGCCGCAGCAGAUGCAGCAGAUCCUCUCGCCGCCCCAGCUCCAGGCCCUCCUGCAGCAGCAGCAGGCGAUAAUGCUGCAGCAGUUGCAGGAAUACUACAAGAAGCAACAGGAGCAGCUUCACCUGCAGCUAUUGACACAGCAGCAAGCCGGAAAGCAGCAACCCAAAGAGCCGUUAGGGAACAAGCAGCUGGCCUUCCAGCAGCAGCUCCUGCAGAUGCAGCAGCUCCAGCAGCAGCACCUGUUAAACCUGCAGCGCCAGGGGCUGGUCAGCCUCCCCCCGGGACAGGGCACCGUCCCCCUCCAGACCCUGCCCCAAGGUAAGGACCCCUGUCUGGGGUUGGGGGUUGUAUUGGGGAGGGGGGGGAUCCUUCGCAGCUGCAGCAUCUCCCUGCUCUGGGUGAGGGGAGGGGGCUGGGGUGUUGUUUUU